GUCGUCGCUAAAAUAUUUAAACGUCAAAUCAAAGCAAAGGAAAAAUUAAGUUAUAAAGAUAAUUUUAUUUUAUAAAUUAAAUGCUUAAAGUGAUUUAAGAAAAAAAUGGCUAGCGUCGGUUUUAGAUGGCUUGAUAUUCUAGAGAAAGAGUUCGACAAAGCUUUUGUGGAUUUGGAUUUAGCUCUGGGAGAAAUUGAUGGGGAGGAGGCCAAUAUAGUUUUUAAUGUCCGACAGAAAUUGUGCACUCUAGGAUCAUGUUUUGCCCAGCUGUCCCAUAAGGCCCAAACCAUUUUUCAGAAUAGUGCAAAAUUAGAGGCUGAACUUAUACAUCUGCGUGCAGAACUUGUCGAGUCCAAAUCCAAAAAAGAACUUUUAGAGAACGAGUUGCACAACUUACUUCUUCAGCUUCAUUCUUCGCAACUGUCACAACUUCCGGACAGCUUGAACAACAAAAAAUCAGAUCAGUAUUUUAAACCGGAUGUGAACGCUAUCAAGAAGCGUCUUGAAGCGGAAAUGAGACAGAGCCCUCUACGUAUACGCAGAAGCAUGAGUACUGAUGCUAAGGAAAAAGAUCCUGAACUCAAAUUCAGUACAACCUUGCUGGAACCAAUCCAGAACAAGAUAGAGAACGCCCAGUUACUUGCCGAGAAUACCGCGCUAAGAAAUGACAUUCUGGCUUUGACAGCUGAAGUAUAUGGAGCAAAAUUAGCGGCCAAGUACUUGGAUAAGGAAUUGGCAGGGAGGAUACAGCAGUUACAACUUUUAGGUAGGGAAAUGCGUGGUGAGGUUAGAGAUAAGCUGUGGGGUCAGUUAGAAUCGGAAAUUCUGCUUCAGAGACAUAAGACUGUGGUACGAGCUUGUAGACGGAACAGUUCCUUGCACAACAACCAGGACAAGUGUCCGAAACCACCGAUUGAGUCAAACGGUGGUACUGCUCAUUUUGGCGAUAUAAGGAUAGUGGUUGUGAAGAGAAAACCUGAGCAGGGUCUAGGCAUUAGUAUAACGGGCGGUAGGGAACACGGAGUACCGAUUCUCAUAUCAGAAUUGGAGCCCAACGGACCCGCUUCCGUAUCAGAACAGCUGUACAUAGGGGACGCCAUCUUGUAUGUUAAUGACAUUGACAUAAGGAACGCCACUCACAAGGAGGCCGUGUCGAUACUGCAACAGCAGAGCGGAGAUUGCGUGUUGCAAGUUCAGUACAUUGCUGCGGAUGAUAGCGAUAAUUCUUUGGAAGAGGAUGGCUUAAAUUUCAGAUUCUUCAACGAAGAAGUUUGUGAAUCAAGCAAUUCCAGUUUACUGAAAGGAUCACAAGAAAUAGUGAACACGCCUACAGCACCUAGAACACCUGAAUCAGUGAGCAGGUUAUCUCGAUCAAGCGCAAGGAACAGCAAAGAAAACCUAACCUCCACCAGCGUUUUAGACCUGACAGAAAACGGAAACAUAACUGUCAAAGCACCACCGGAUGACAUGACAGAUUUGCACACGUCCAACAACAACACUCUGCUAGAUAACCUCACAAAAUUCAAUGACACACUUGCAAACGUCGAUACGAGCGAACUAGUGCUUUUAGACAACGCAACCAACAACAUUAUCAAGUUGGGAGAGUUCAAAAAAGUCGACGUUUUUGCUACGAUCGAAAGCAACUUUAAUUGCUCAGCUAACUCGCUUAUUUCGGAUAACUUGUCUUCCCCUAUGCAAACCAGCACCGAUGUGUAUCUGGAUUCGGAGAUACUAUCCACGGAUAUCGCUUCAAACGAUUCGCAAUCACCGAAAAACCUUCAGACAGACGUAACAAAGAACAGCUCUUCAUUUAACUACGAAACCAGUCUUAUUGAGGUCGAAAAAUUAAACAAACCAUCUUUGUACGUCUCGAAUGAAUCAAUUUCUGAAACUAAGAGCGAUCAAAGUUUGUUAAACUCAGACGAGAGUUGUAGUAGUUCACCUGUACACCUAAAAAACCGGAACUACAAGAAACAGAAAAAAGUUAAGAAGAAAUAUUUCGGUGUUAAGACACUUCAGAGCAUUUUCAGUAAAAACGAUGGGUACUCCGACAUAUCCACUACAGCCAGUGAAAUAGGAGACGACUUUCCUAGACAACGUAUAGAAAAAACUACCGAAGCGACAUCUACCUCAGUUGACCCACCACCAAAACCAACUAAAAAUACAGUUUUCUGUCCCGACACUAGUCCCCAAUUUGAGGAAAACAUCCACAACAUCCUUACAGAUAUUUUCUUGAAAAGUCAAAUCGAAACUGCUGCAGCUAUAAAUUCAACCAAGCAAUCCAAACCAAAAAAUCUCGGACCUUCAAAGAAGUAUUUCUCGUUACACGGUCAAAAUCUGAGGGUUAGUAAAGCAUUGAGGUUAUGUCCCAAUGAGGAACUAACCGAAGGCACUGAGAACGAUCAAAGAAGAGAGAAAUUGUUAGCUAGAUAUGUUUAUAAUGCGAAUUCUGUUAAUGUAGAUGGCGUGGGGGAUCCUGAUUUUGGUACCCCUGUAUAGAUGGCGUGAUGCACUAGAGCUUACUGCGCGCACGCGCAUUAAACGUUGAAUUUAACCGAUUAAAACUAAAUGAAAGGAUAGUGCACAAACAUAAAGGAGGUAUAUUUUUUAAAUUAAAAAAGAAUUCUAGCCAGUAUAUCAUGUAACUAGGUAACAUCAGAAGAUUGGUAGGUAGAUAGUUUGGUGUAUAUAUAUUUAAAGAAAAAUGUAAGUAUAUAUACAAAAUAAAUGUGUAAUAGCUAGGUUUUUUAGCAAAAGUAUUGAACAUAAUAAUUCUGUCGGGCUAGUUACUAUAAAUAUAUCUCAAAUAGUGUCUAUAUCUUGAUCUGUGACAGUUUCAUCAAUAAGAAACAUAAAAAAAAGGUUAGUAAAAAAAGAAAAGUAUAUAGACAGUAUAUGAAUGAUAUAAGGAUGUUCUUAAACAUUACUAUAAUAUAUUCCUGUUACUUAGGACUCUGUAAAUUCUUAUAGUGAAGAGACAAACAUUCUCAGGUGGUAGAUAACCCUAUCCCUAUAUAAAUUUGCACAAUUAUUAUGUAAGAGUCCAUUCACACUAUCUAUUACUGUUUUAUUUUUAUUAAUUAAAUGAAAAAAAUGUGUCGAAGUGAAACUUCUUACUAGCAGC
This is an RNA transcript of Sitophilus oryzae (rice weevil), 3124 nucleotides long. It is a transcript of the gene named Golgi-associated PDZ and coiled-coil motif-containing protein-like, with no coding region annotated. Lineage: Eukaryota; Metazoa; Arthropoda; Insecta; Coleoptera; Curculionidae. The record is from RefSeq and is a predicted model, not a curated record. The transcript is spliced from 9 exons.